RNAcentral lists this ribosomal RNA (339 nucleotides) under Hyphomicrobiales bacterium. RNAcentral describes it as "bacterial SSU rRNA". It matches the Rfam family "Bacterial small subunit ribosomal RNA", at positions 1 to 370 of the family's 1533-position model. The record is from RNAcentral. Lineage: Bacteria; Pseudomonadati; Pseudomonadota; Alphaproteobacteria; Hyphomicrobiales.
CAACUUGAGAGUUUGAUCCUGGCUCAGAACGAACGCUGGCGGCAGGCUUAACACAUGCAAGUCGAGCGCCCCGCAAGGGGAGCGGCAGACGGGUGAGUAACGCGUGGGAAUCUACCCAGCUCUACGGAAUAACCCAGGGAAACUUGGACUAAUACCGUAUACGUCCUUCGGGAGAAAGAUUUAUCGGAGUUGGAUGAGCCCGCGUUGGAUUAGCUAGUUGGUGGGGUAAUGGCCUACCAAGGCGACGAUCCAUAGCUGGUCUGAGAGGAUGAUCAGCCACACUGGGACUGAGACACGGCCCAGACUCCUACGGGAGGCAGCAGUGGGGAAUAUUGGACA